RNAcentral lists this ribosomal RNA (443 nucleotides) under uncultured bacterium. RNAcentral describes it as "partial 16S ribosomal RNA". It matches the Rfam family "Bacterial small subunit ribosomal RNA", at positions 338 to 795 of the family's 1533-position model. The record is from RNAcentral.
CCUACGGGUGGCAGCAGUGGGGAAUAUUGGGCAAUGGGCGCAAGCCUGACCCAGCGACGCCGCGUGAAGGAAGAAGGCUUUCGGGUUGUAAACUUCUUUUCUGAGGGACGAAGAAAGAGACGGUACCACAGGAAUAAGCCACGGCUAACUACGUGCCAGCAGCCGCGGUAAUACGGAGGUGGCAAGCGUUGUCCGGAUUUAUUGGGUGGAAGGGGGGUGUAGGCGGGAAAGUAAGUCAGAUGUGAAAACCCAGGGCUCAACCCUGGGACUGCAUAUGAUACUGUUUGUCUUGAGUGCUGGAGAGGCAAUCGGAAUUCCGUGUGUAGCGGUGAAAUGCGUAGAUAUACGGAGGAACACCAGUGGCGAAGGCGGAUUGCUGGACAGUAACUGACGCUGAGGCGCGAAGGCGUGGGGAGCAAACAGGAUUAGAUACCCGGGUAGUC